ACCCUGGGGUGUACGUCAGCAAAUUAACGUCCCCGAGCCGAUAAGCAAAUACCCAGGAUACGCUUUAGUUAACUAUUGAGCAGGCUCAGCCCGACUGAGAAGCCUACGGUUAAUGUUGCCUAUCCACCUUGAACUUCUGGUUCAAGGGCCUAAAUUUGUAACGGCACCUUGGGGAU
Molecule: non-coding RNA, 176 nt
Filed under: fish gut metagenome
Description: 6S / SsrS RNA
Rfam family: 6S / SsrS RNA
About the family: E. coli 6S RNA was the first non coding RNA to be sequenced, but its function was unknown until recently. It consists of 184 nucleotides that fold into an extended hairpin structure with a large single-stranded internal bulge.
Source: RNAcentral